Molecule: ribosomal RNA, 497 nt
Filed under: uncultured bacterium
Lineage: Bacteria
Description: partial 16S ribosomal RNA
Rfam family: Bacterial small subunit ribosomal RNA
Source: RNAcentral
GAUGAACGCUGGCGGCGUGCCUAAUACAUGCAAGUCGAGCGAACAGAUGGGGAGCUUGCUCCUCUGACGUUAGCGGCGGACGGGUGAGUAACACGUGGAUAACCUACCUAUAUGACUGGGAUAACUUCGGGAAACCGGAGCUACUACCGGAUAAUAUAUUGAACCGCAUGGUUCAAUAGUGAAAGACGGUUUUGCUGUCACUUAUAGAUGGAUCCGCGCCGCAUUAGCUAGUUGGUAAGGUAACGGCUUACCAAGGCAACGAUGCGUAGCCGACCUGAGAGGGUGAUCGGCCACACUGGAACUGAGACACGGUCCAGACUCCUACGGGAGGCAGCAGUAGGGAAUCUUCCGCAAUGGGCGAAAGCCUGACGGAGCAACGCCGCGUGAGUGAUGAAGGUCUUCGGAUCGUAAAACUCUGUUAUUAGGGAAGAACAAAUGUGUAAGUAACUAUGCACGUCUUGACGGUACCUAAUCAGAAAGCCACGGCUAACUACGUG